UACGGAGGAUGCGAGCGUUAUCCGGAUUUAUUGGGUUUAAAGGGUGCGUAGGCGGAAAAAUAAGUCAGUGGUGAAAACCUUCAGCUUAACUGGAGACUUGCCAUUGAUACUGUUAUUCUUGAGUAUAGUUAAGGUAGGCGGAAUGUGUAAUGUAGCGGUGAAAUGCUUAGAUAUUACACAGAACACCAAUUGCGAAGGCAGCUUACUGAGCUAUAACUGACGCUGAUGCACGAAAGCGUGGGGAGCGAACAGG
This 253-nucleotide ribosomal RNA is filed under the name uncultured bacterium. Its description in RNAcentral is "partial 16S ribosomal RNA". It matches the Rfam family "Bacterial small subunit ribosomal RNA", at positions 524 to 776 of the family's 1533-position model. The record is from RNAcentral.